RNAcentral lists this ribosomal RNA (585 nucleotides) under Papiliotrema flavescens. Its description in RNAcentral is "partial large subunit ribosomal RNA". It matches the Rfam family "Eukaryotic large subunit ribosomal RNA", at positions 84 to 658 of the family's 3401-position model. The record is from RNAcentral. Lineage: Eukaryota; Fungi; Basidiomycota; Tremellomycetes; Tremellales; Rhynchogastremaceae.
UAACGGCGAGUGAACCGGGAAGAGCUCAAAUUUGAAAUCUGGCGUGCUCAGUGCGUCCGAGUUGUAAUCUAUAGAGGCGUUUUCCGUGCCGGACUGUGUCCAAGUCCCUUGGAACAGGGUAUCAAAGAGGGUGAUAAUCCCGUACUUGACACAAUGACCGGUGCUCUGUGAUACGUCUUCUACGAGUCGAGUUGUUUGGGAAUGCAGCUCAAAAUGGGUGGUGAGUUCCAUCUAAAGCUAAAUAUUGGCGAGAGACCGAUAGCGAACAAGUACCGUGAGGGAAAGAUGAAAAGCACUUUGGAAAGAGAGUUAAACAGUACGUGAAAUUGUUAAAAGGGAAACGAUUGAAGUCAGUCGUGACUGAGAGGCUCAGCCGGUUCUGCCGGUGUAUUCCCCUCAGUCGGGUCAACAUCAGUUUUGUUCGGUGGAUAAGGGCAGCUGGAAGGUAGCACCCUCGGGUGUGUUAUAGCCAGUUGUCGCAUACAUCGGAUGAGACUGAGGAAUGCAGCUCGCCUUUAUGGCCGGGGUUCGCCCACGUCCGAGCUUAGGAUGUUGACAUAAUGGCUUUAAACGACCCGUCUUGAA